Molecule: long non-coding RNA, 2498 nt
Organism: Eriocheir sinensis (Chinese mitten crab)
Lineage: Eukaryota; Metazoa; Arthropoda; Malacostraca; Decapoda; Varunidae
Exons: 4
Source: RefSeq, a predicted model, not a curated record
UUACGGUUAUGAGCUAUAUUAUUGUGUUUUUAUAGUCAUUAAUUCAUAGUUCGUCCCUGCGUAAGAUCAUUAAUACACUUGGGGGAGGCACUAUGGUAAAUUUGGCGGGGUCAGCGCGUCGACGGUUCUUUCCUGGAAUAUUCGUGUAUUUAAAAUGUCCUUCAGCUUUACGGUAAUGAGCUAUAUUAUUGUAUUUUUAUAGUCAUUAAUUUAUAGUUCGUCCCUGCGUAAGAUCAUUAAUAAGCGUGUUUGAGAUACUAAGCUUGGCGGGGAAGCGAGCCUUGGCGCCAUUCCCGGGCCGACCUCCAUUCCGAGCAGACGCACGGCAAGACGCUCCUUACGAUGGCGCCAAAUAUUCACGAUUAUAACGCCGCAGCCCGGUUAUUAGGCAAUAGCACUACUUAAUUAAGUUGCCCUGACACAACAUGUAAGGGGCAGAAACAGAAGAUUACACCACCCAAUACCUACCACGACAUGCUACUGCACACAAUACUAGCACAGCCAUACCAAGAAAACAAGGUGGACAUUUUAGAACUAUUGUUAUGUAAAGAAGCAAUAAGACUGUGAAGUCAAGAAAGACCUGAUCAGAAGAAUGGGGAAGAAGAAAAGAAAACUGACCUCCUUUACAAUACACAGGUUACUGGACCCCUCCCUUUUACACAGACUACUACUACUACUGCUACUACUACUACUACUACUACCAUAUUGCAGCUUUAAUCAAGAAACUUGAAACAUGCAUAAACAGAAGGAAGGAAAUUAAAUAUAUGCAAGAAUUUUGGAAGAAUCGCUUAAAAUCUGAGAAGAGACGGCAGCACUCAACCAGGCACAAGAAAAUCAAGAAGUGGAGGCUCCGAACUGCACUGAACUGAACUGUAAACUUUAUCAGAAGGGAGGAUAUUAAAUAUACUCAAGACUUUUAGAAGAAUCGCUUAAAAAUCAGAGAAGAGAAGGCAGCACAACCAAGCACAAGAAGACCAUUUAGAGGGGCAAAGGCAACCCUCCGAACAGAACUGGAAACAAACAGAAGGGAGGAAAUUAAAUAUACUCAAGACUUUUAGAAGAAUCGCUAAAAAUUGGAGAAGAAAAGGCAGCACAACCAAGCACAAGAAGACCAUUUAGAGGGGCAAAGGCAACCCUCCGAACAGAACUGGAAACAAACAGAAGGGAGGAAAUUAAAUAUACUCAAGACUUUUAGAAGAAUCGCUUAAAAUUGAAGAAGAAAAGGCAGCACAACCAGGCACAAGAAGACCAUUUAGAGGGGCCGCUGCAAAGGCACUCCCUCCGAACUACACUGCACUGAACUGACCUGGUUACGGCGCCUGUACAAGUGACCCGGGAUGGAGUAUUGGCGGCAGGGCAGCUCUACGAAAGCUGCUGUGGGAGUGCUGCCCUCCACAGCAAGCAAGGGGCUGCCCUGCCCAGACCACAGCAAGAGGAGGAAGAGCUCUGCAUUACUAAGUUAAGUACCUCACUAUGACAUUCUGAGGGUUUGGCUUCAUUUUUGCCUUCUAUUAAAAACUUUUUACUUUCUAACGAACCUUAAUCUUUUCUCAGCCUGCCUCCUCCUCCUCCUCCUCCUUCAACUUCCUUUACCUCCUUGUGUGAAUCUGUCCGUCCCGAGAUCCGGCGAGACCAUCCCGACGUCGUAACACCCGUUUGGGAGUGGGGGGACUCAUGAAGCUGGGGGCGGCAGCCCUAAGGUGGGGAGGGUUGCGCCGACACCUCCACUCCGUUUCGGCGGAAUGUGGCUGGCUAGGGUGGCCUGAACCACUGUCUGGGUUGUUUGUCGUUCAGUCGGAUUGAGGAUCUGCCUCCCUUGAGGUGCACAUGUCAUAGUGGUGGCAGAAGAGAGAGUGAGUGAAGCUGAUGUCAUCCCGACGUCGUAACACCGUUGGGCGGGGCGGGGCUCUCAUGUCAAGUCUCCCCGCGGUGCACAUGUCACAGAGGUGCAAACAGCAUGGCCUUCUUUCCUAUCUUUUCCCCCUCCUCCUCCUCCACCCCCUCCCCUGCACACCUCCUGCUGUUAUAUCGUCACCCUCAUAAAGUAAUUGCCUAAGUCAUUUUUCAGUGAUUUCCAUUUUUGUUAAGUUGUCUUAGAUAUUCAGGGUUUGAGUGUUCUAGAAUUGCCUUUUUAUUUCUGCCUAAAUCUUAAGCCAAAUGAGAUGAUGACGUUCUCUUCAUUAAAAAUAGAAAAUAACGACUUGGGCGGUUUCUUUACGAAGGUGGCGAGAUUGUAAUAGGUUUUGCACCCUCUAUUUAGGGAUGUGCACUAAUUUUUGUCUCUUCUCUUCCCCUCCUCCUCCCCUGGCUGGCCGGGGAACGGAGGAGGAGCACUAGGACGAGGAGGUGAAGGGAGGCGGAGGGAGAGACGACUCGAGCACAGGGAGGCAAGAGACAAGAAGCAGAGACGCAGGAACAGAAAGCUGCUGUGGGAGUGCUGCCCUCCACAGCAAGCAAGGGGCUGCCCUGCCCAGACCACAGCAAGAGGAGGAAGAGCU